Long non-coding RNA from Helianthus annuus (common sunflower), 252 nucleotides. RefSeq lists it as uncharacterized. Lineage: Eukaryota; Viridiplantae; Streptophyta; Magnoliopsida; Asterales; Asteraceae. The transcript is spliced from 3 exons. The record is from RefSeq and is a predicted model, not a curated record.
AGGGUUCUCCAAAACCCUAAAUUUCACAACUAAAAUCUGCAAAUUGAAGCCUCAAUCUCGUUCCAAAUCAAGUUCUAAACACGAAUUAGCAAACCCCUUGUUGUAAGGAUCAAAGAGGCAAAGAGUCCGGUUCAUCUAGCGGACAAGCCGAGGGGAAUUCACGAGGAAAGGGCGCGCUCUAAAGGCAAAGAGUCCGGUUCAUCUAGCGGACAAGCCGAGGGGAAUUCACGAGGAAAGGGCGCGCUCUAAAGG